This 424-nucleotide ribosomal RNA is filed under the name Verrucomicrobiota bacterium. Its description in RNAcentral is "Verrucomicrobia bacterium partial 16S ribosomal RNA". It matches the Rfam family "Bacterial small subunit ribosomal RNA", at positions 355 to 776 of the family's 1533-position model. The record is from RNAcentral. Lineage: Bacteria; Pseudomonadati; Verrucomicrobiota.
UGAGGAAUAUUGGUCAAUGGACGCAAGUCUGAACCAGCCAAGUAGCGUGCAGGAUGACGGCCCUAUGGGUUGUAAACUGCUUUUAUAUGGGGAUAAAGUGGGGAACGUGUCCCUUAUUGCAUGUACCAUAUGAAUAAGGACCGGCUAAUUCCGUGCCAGCAGCCGCGGUAAUACGGAAGGUCCAGGCGUUAUCCGGAUUUAUUGGGUUUAAAGGGAGCGUAGGCUGUUUGUUAAGCGUGUUGUGAAAUGUAAGAGCUCAACUUUUAGAUUGCAGCGCGAACUGGCAGACUUGAGUGCGCACAACGUAGGCGGAAUUCAUGGUGUAGCGGUGAAAUGCUUAGAUAUCAUGACGAACUCCGAUUGCGAAGGCAGCUUACGGGAGCGCAACUGACGCUAAAGCUCGAAGGUGCGGGUAUCGAACAGG